This 400-nucleotide ribosomal RNA is filed under the name uncultured bacterium. RNAcentral describes it as "bacterial SSU rRNA". It matches the Rfam family "Bacterial small subunit ribosomal RNA", at positions 356 to 773 of the family's 1533-position model. The record is from RNAcentral.
GGGGAAUAUUGCACAAUGGAGGAAACUCUGAUGCAGCAACGCCGCGUGAGUGAAGAAGGUUUUCGGAUUGUAAAGCUCUGUCAUCUGGGACGAUAAUGACGGUACCAGAUGAGGAAGCCACGGCUAACUACGUGCCAGCAGCCGCGGUAAUACGUAGGUGGCAAGCGUUGUCCGGAUUUACUGGGCGUAAAGGAUGUGUAGGCGGAUAUUUAAGUGAGAUGUGAAAUCCCCGGGCUUAACUUGGGGGCUGCAUUUCAAACUGGAUGUCUAGAGUGCAGGAGAGGAAAGCAGAAUUCCUAGUGUAGCGGUGAAAUGCGUAGAGAUUAGGAAGAAUACCAGUGGCGAAGGCGGCUUUCUGGACUGUAACUGACGCUGAGGCAGGAAAGCGUGGGGAGCAAAC